AAGUCGUAACAAGGUUUCCGUAGGUGAACCUGCGGAAGGAUCAUUACAUUUAGUAGCCUAGCUGCUAUCAGUGGGGUUCGUUAGCCUGCAUAGCUUAAUCGCUGAUGAGCAGCAGACCCCCUGUUUGUACCCUUGUUUUUUGCGUCAACAAAUCGUUUCCGUCGGGCUGGGCUUGCCGUGCGCCAGGAUGGACAAAUAACCUUUAAUAACCUUUUUUAAUAUUCAAUCAGCGUCUGAAAAAACUUGAAUAAUUACAA
Molecule: unclassified non-coding RNA, 257 nt
Filed under: plant metagenome
Description: partial contains small subunit ribosomal RNA and internal transcribed spacer 1
Rfam family: Eukaryotic small subunit ribosomal RNA (bases 1-46)
Source: RNAcentral